UGAGGAAUAUUGGUCAAUGGGCGAGAGCCUGAACCAGCCAAGUCGCGUGAGGGAUGAAGGCCCUACGGGUUGUAAACCUCUUUUAUAAGGGAAUAAAGGGCGUCACGUGUGGCGCAUUGCAUGUACCUUAUGAAUAAGCAUCGGCUAACUCCGUGCCAGCAGCCGCGGUAAUACGGAGGAUGCGAGCGUUAUCCGGAUUCAUUGGGUUUAAAGGGUGCGUAGGUGGCUUGUUAAGUCAGCGGUGAAAGUCAGUGGCUCAACCAUUGAAUUGCCGUUGAAACUGGCGAGCUUGAGUACGUACGGGGCAGGCGGAAUGCGUGGUGUAGCGGUGAAAUGCAUAGAUAUCACGCAGAACCCCGAUCGCGAAGGCAGCCUGCCAGGCCGUGACUGACACUGAUGCACGAAAGCGUGGGUAUCGAACAGG
This 424-nucleotide ribosomal RNA is filed under the name uncultured bacterium. RNAcentral describes it as "bacterial SSU rRNA". It matches the Rfam family "Bacterial small subunit ribosomal RNA", at positions 355 to 776 of the family's 1533-position model. The record is from RNAcentral.